GGCUCAGUGGUCUAGUGGUAUGAUUCUCCCUUUGGGUGCGAGAGGCCAUGGUUCGAUUCCCGUCUGAGCCC
This is a non-coding RNA of Nematostella vectensis (starlet sea anemone), 71 nucleotides long. Lineage: Eukaryota; Metazoa; Cnidaria; Anthozoa; Actiniaria; Edwardsiidae. The record is from Rfam.